RNAcentral lists this ribosomal RNA (230 nucleotides) under uncultured bacterium. Its description in RNAcentral is "partial 16S ribosomal RNA". It matches the Rfam family "Bacterial small subunit ribosomal RNA", at positions 561 to 790 of the family's 1533-position model. The record is from RNAcentral.
UAAAGCGUGCGCAGGCGGUUAUAUAAGACAGAUGUGAAAUCCCCGGGCUCAACCUGGGAACUGCAUUUGUGACUGUAUAGCUGGAGUGCGGCAGAGGGGGAUGGAAUUCCGCGUGUAGCAGUGAAAUGCGUAGAUAUGCGGAGGAACACCGAUGGCGAAGGCAAUCCCCUGGGCCUGCACUGACGCUCAUGCACGAAAGCGUGGGGAGCAAACAGGAUUAGAUACCCUAU